GAUUCAGUGGUUGGUGGUGCAUGGCCGUUCUUAGUUCGUGGAGCGAUUUGUCUGGUUAAUUCCGAUAACGAACGAGACUCACGCCUGCUAAAUAGUGGCGGCCGCUCCGGCGGCUCGCGUACUUCUUAGAGGGACAAGCGGCGCUUAGCCGCGUGAAGCUGUGAGCAAUAACAGGUCAGUGAUGCCCUUAGAUGUUCGGGGCCGCACGCGCGCUACACUGUCGGCAUCAGCGUGACACCCGCGCCGAGGGGCGUGGGCAACCCGUUGAACCGCCGACGUGCUAGGGAUCGGGGCUUGCAAUUGUUCCCCGUGAACGAGGAAUUCCUUGUAGGGGCGCGUCAUCAGCGCGCCCCGAAUCCGUCCCUGCCCUUUGUACACACCGCCCGUCGCUACUACCGAUCGAAUGGUUUAGUGAGGCCCGCGGACCGCGCGGAUUCGCCGGGUUCGCCCGGCGCUGUCCGAGCGGGAAGCG
This 472-nucleotide ribosomal RNA is filed under the name Alcyonidium sp. 907. RNAcentral describes it as "SSU rRNA". It matches the Rfam family "Eukaryotic small subunit ribosomal RNA", at positions 1264 to 1756 of the family's 1831-position model. Lineage: Eukaryota; Metazoa; Bryozoa; Gymnolaemata; Ctenostomatida; Alcyonidiidae. The record is from RNAcentral.